This 253-nucleotide ribosomal RNA is filed under the name uncultured bacterium. Its description in RNAcentral is "partial 16S ribosomal RNA". It matches the Rfam family "Bacterial small subunit ribosomal RNA", at positions 524 to 776 of the family's 1533-position model. The record is from RNAcentral.
UACAUGGGGUGCAAACGUUGCUCGGAAUUAUUGGGCGUAAAGCGCACGUAGGUGGUCUGUUAUGUCAGAUGUGAAAGCCCUCGGCUUAACUGAGGAAGUGCACCUGAAACUGGCAGGCUUGAGUACGAAGGGGGGUCGCGGAAUUCCCGGUGUAGAGGUGAAAUGCGUAGAUAUCGGGAGGAACACCAGUGGCGAAGGCGGUUGCCUGGAGCUUUGCUGACGCUGAUGCGCGAAAGCGUGGGGAGCGAUCCGG